GCGGCUAUGGUGUAACGGUUAACACUACAGGUUGUGGCUCUGUCGAUCCGGGUUCGAUUCCCGGUAGUCGCC
Molecule: transfer RNA, 72 nt
Filed under: Minisyncoccota bacterium
Lineage: Bacteria; Bacillati; Minisyncoccota
Description: tRNA-His
Rfam family: tRNA
About the family: Transfer RNA (tRNA) molecules are approximately 80 nucleotides in length. Their secondary structure includes four short double-helical elements and three loops (D, anti-codon, and T loops).
Source: RNAcentral